CCAGAGGAGCUGCCUGAGCUUCCCCUCGUUCAGUAUCCUGAGGAGCAGCCCGGCAUACCCAGCGCCCAGUACCCUGAGGAGCCCAUGGUGUGGGACACUGCGGAAGACGCCAGGGAUACCCAGCCCCUGCCUGAGGGUCUGGACCGUGACCUACUGGCUGUCGGUAGUGAGGCGCCCUGGAUCCCAGCAGCGCCUGAGAGGGCCGAGCCCCAACACCGGACGUCCACACGACUAAAGAGAAAGUUGGAAAUAGCAGGAGAAGUGACUUCCCAAGGUCACACAUGAAGUCUGUGGCAGAUUUGAAAACAGAAGCCAAAUCUCCUGCUUCCCAGUCUUGUUCUCCAGAUUAUGCCUCUUUUUUGUGCACCCCUUACACAACUUUUAAAUUCAUUUUAACUCAUCUAACUCACUUACUUCAGCAAAUUUGAGUUCAUGCAGUCAUAAGCUAUGCCACUUCCUCCACUCAGCAGGUUUUGUUCCUAUGUUGACCUUAAAGUAACCCCACAUGCUGAUCUUGUU
This is a long non-coding RNA of Mauremys mutica (yellowpond turtle), 519 nucleotides long. RefSeq lists it as uncharacterized. The record is from RefSeq and is a predicted model, not a curated record. The transcript is spliced from 3 exons. NCBI's taxonomy places the organism in Eukaryota, Metazoa, Chordata, Testudines, Geoemydidae.